This 653-nucleotide ribosomal RNA is filed under the name Escherichia coli. Its description in RNAcentral is "partial 23S ribosomal RNA". It matches the Rfam family "Bacterial large subunit ribosomal RNA", at positions 243 to 934 of the family's 2925-position model. Lineage: Bacteria; Pseudomonadati; Pseudomonadota; Gammaproteobacteria; Enterobacterales; Enterobacteriaceae. The record is from RNAcentral.
GUAGCGGCGAGCGAACGGGGAGCAGCCCAGAGCCUGAAUCAGUGUGUGUGUUAGUGGAAGCGUCUGGAAAGGCGCGCGAUACAGGGUGACAGCCCCGUACACAAAAAUGCACAUACUGUGAGCUCGAUGAGUAGGGCGGGACACGUGGUAUCCUGUCUGAAUAUGGGGGGACCAUCCUCCAAGGCUAAAUACUCCUGACUGACCGAUAGUGAACCAGUACCGUGAGGGAAAGGCGAAAAGAACCCCGGCGAGGGGAGUGAAAAAGAACCUGAAACCGUGUACGUACAAGCAGUGGGAGCACAGAGCAAUCUGUGUGACUGCGUACCUUUUGUAUAAUGGGUCAGCGACUUAUAUUCUGUAGCAAGGUUAACCGAAUAGGGGAGCCGAAGGGAAACCGAGUCUUAACUGGGCGUUAAGUUGCAGGGUAUAGACCCGAAACCCGGUGAUCUAGCCAUGGGCAGGUUGAAGGUUGGGUAACACUAACUGGAGGACCGAACCGACUAAUGUUGAAAAAUUAGCGGAUGACUUGUGGCUGGGGGUGAAAGGCCAAUCAAACCGGGAGAUAGCUGGUUCUCCCCGAAAGCUAUUUAGGUAGCGCCUCGUGAAUUCAUCUCCGGGGGUAGAGCACUGUUUCGGCAAGGGGGUCAUCCCGA